RNAcentral lists this long non-coding RNA (999 nucleotides) under Gossypium raimondii (Peruvian cotton). RNAcentral's name for it is "long non-coding RNA (GRAI_LNC000083)". Lineage: Eukaryota; Viridiplantae; Streptophyta; Magnoliopsida; Malvales; Malvaceae. The record is from RNAcentral.
UUCAAACUAAAAACAUGUAUAUAUUUCGAUAUCUAACGCAACCAUAACAUUCAAAUUUACUUUUUACUUCAAUUCCCUAUACAUGCCAUAUAAAUCCAAAAAGUUGCUUAACAUAAUCUACCGGAGUAUAUCUGGAUAGUGUGAUUCUUGAUGUAGAUCCGAUCCUCCGAAUGUAUAAAUACGUUAAUCUACAAAAACAAUAAACACACAAAUGUAAGCUUAUAGAAAAGCUUAGUAAGUUCAUAGGCAUAAAACAUAAAUCUUACCAAACACUUGUACACUUAUACAAUAUACACCAUUACUAAAUUUACCUGUCAACCACAAUCUUUGGUGAGUUCCUUGGUAUAAACUCACUACUACUUAUUCUUUUACCAUAAUUCCUUUGGGCCCAUUUGUCACUUACCAUCCUUGAUCAAAAUUAAGGAACGGUUACGGAAAAUUGAGUACUUCACUUUCACUUUGACAUAUGACCUCUUAUCACUUGUCCUUGAUCAGAUAAGUGUAACUAGGCUACCACUUAUCACUUUGCCACUUGAUCAGAUAAGUGUAGCUGAAGCUACCACUUAUCACUUUAUCACUUGAUCAGAUAAGUGUAGCCACUUAUCACUUUGUCUCUUGAUCAGAUAAGUGUAACCACUUAUCACUUUGUUUCUUGAUCAGAUAAGUGUAACCACUUAUCACUUUGUUUAUUGAUCAGAUAAGUGUAGCCACUUAUCACUUUGUCACUUGAUCAGAUAAGUGUAGCUAAAACUACCACUUAUCACUUUGUCACUUGAUCAGAAGUACUCAAAUCCGGCGUUCACUUAAUUUGAUCAUUUAUUCGAUUUUCACAUUUUUAUUUUAUUCUCAUUUCAACAAUAAAUACAUUUCAUCAUACAUUGUAUAAUUCAUGAAAUUAACAUUUAAUCAUUAAAUUUCAGCCAUAUGAACUUACCUAGGUCGAUUUGCAGAAUUUGCAAAAGUUCAGGGACUAAUCAACUACUUUUUCUUUUCCUCGGC